CGCGUAGGCGGCUUUUCAAGCGUGCGGUGAAAGCUCGGGGCUUAACUCCGAGUCUGCCGUGCGAACUGGGAGGCUUGAGUCUGGUAGAGGUCGAUGGAAUUCCGGGUGUAGCGGUGGAAUGCGUAGAGAUCCGGAAGAACACCGGUGGCGAAGGCGGUCGACUGGGCCAGUACUGACGCUGAGGCGCGACAGCGUGGGAAGCAAACA
Molecule: ribosomal RNA, 207 nt
Filed under: uncultured bacterium
Lineage: Bacteria
Description: partial 16S ribosomal RNA
Rfam family: Bacterial small subunit ribosomal RNA
Source: RNAcentral